RNAcentral lists this ribosomal RNA (253 nucleotides) under uncultured bacterium. RNAcentral's name for it is "partial 16S ribosomal RNA". It matches the Rfam family "Bacterial small subunit ribosomal RNA", at positions 524 to 776 of the family's 1533-position model. The record is from RNAcentral.
UACGUAGGGGGCAAGCGUUGUCCGGAUUUAUUGGGCGUAAAGAGCUCGUAGGUGGCGUGUCGCGUCUGCCGUGAAAGCCCAUGGCUUAACUGUGGGUCUGCGGUGGAUACGGGCAGGCUAGAGGCUGGUAGGGGCAAGCGGAAUUCCUGGUGUAGCGGUGAAAUGCGCAGAUAUCAGGAGGAACACCGGUGGCGAAGGCGGCUUGCUGGGCCAGUUCUGACGCUGAGGAGCGAAAGCGUGGGGAGCGAACAGG